AAUUGAUCACGAGGGUGCCGGAGAACAGAAUCAGGAAGGGAACAGCUCGUGUUGCGUUAAGGGGAGAGGCUUUUAAGCUACCGGAAACCCCUCCGAAAAAUUUAAGGAUCACUGAUUUUGCUGUUGCACUACUACUGGAUACAAGAUAUAAAUGUGAGAAACCGUCAGUAAAAAUGUUUGCCGAAGAAACUUUAUAUCUAAGAACUUCAUUUUUCGUCCUGUUAUCUGUUGGCUGCUGUUUAUUUUCUGAAGCAUCUGGUGUCUCACCAUGUACAGUUCAUACUGGGAGUUCCUGUGAAGAAUGUUUGACAAAUGUAUCGUGCCUGUGGUGUUACAGCAACAACACAUGUCUGGAUUAUCCCGUGAGGACUCUAAUUCCCUCCACUAGUAUUUGCCCUCUGUCUAAAGCUCGAUGGGGUGUUUGUUGGGGUGAGUAUU
Molecule: long non-coding RNA, 438 nt
Organism: Polypterus senegalus (gray bichir)
Lineage: Eukaryota; Metazoa; Chordata; Cladistia; Polypteriformes; Polypteridae
Exons: 3
Source: RefSeq, a predicted model, not a curated record